GACGAACGCUGGCGGCGUGCCUAAUACAUGCAAGUAGAACGCUGAAGAGAGGAGCUUGCUCUUCUUGGAUGAGUUGCGAACGGGUGAGUAACGCGUAGGUAACCUGCCUUGUAGCGGGGGAUAACUACUGGAAACGAUAGCUAAUACCGCAUAACAAUGGAUGACACAUGUCAUUUAUUUGAAAGGGGCAAUUGCUCCACUACAAGAUGGACCUGCGUUGUAUUAGCUAGUAGGUGAGGUAAUGGCUCACCUAGGCGACGAUACAUAGCCGACCUGAGAGGGUGAUCGGCCACACUAGGACUGAGACACGGCCCAGACUCCUACGGGAGGCAGCAGUAGGGAAUCUUCGGCAAUGGGGGCAACCCUGACCGAGCAACGCCGCGUGAGUGAAGAAGGUUUUCGGAUCGUAAAGCUCUGUUGUAAGUCAAGAACGGGUGUGAGAGUGGAAAGUUCACACUGUGACGGUAGCUUACCAGAAAGGGACGGCUAACUACGUG
Molecule: ribosomal RNA, 497 nt
Filed under: uncultured bacterium
Lineage: Bacteria
Description: partial 16S ribosomal RNA
Rfam family: Bacterial small subunit ribosomal RNA
Source: RNAcentral